This 253-nucleotide ribosomal RNA is filed under the name uncultured bacterium. RNAcentral describes it as "partial 16S ribosomal RNA". It matches the Rfam family "Bacterial small subunit ribosomal RNA", at positions 524 to 776 of the family's 1533-position model. The record is from RNAcentral.
UACGAAGGGGGCUAGCGUUGUUCGGAAUCACUGGGCGUAAAGGGCGCGUAGGCGGCCGAUCAAGUCGGGGGUGAAAGCCUGUGGCUCAACCACAGAAUUGCCUUCGAUACUGUUUGGCUUGAGACCGGAAGAGGUUAGUGGAACUGCGAGUGUAGAGGUGAAAUUCGUAGAUAUUCGGAAGAACACCAGUGGCGAAGGCGGCUCACUGGACCGGCAUUGACGCUGAGGUGCGAAAGCGUGGGGAGCAAACAGG